Molecule: long non-coding RNA, 3982 nt
Organism: Chenopodium quinoa (quinoa)
Lineage: Eukaryota; Viridiplantae; Streptophyta; Magnoliopsida; Caryophyllales; Amaranthaceae
Exons: 3
Source: RefSeq, a predicted model, not a curated record
UAAUAGUGUACAUGUAGUUUAAUGGUCAAAACCCAAUUUUUUCAUCUUCCUCUCUUCAUUCCUUUCACUCAUCAUCAAACUAUAAAUUUUCUAGUAACUUCUUCAAAAUUAACCUUGAUUAGUUAGAUAAUAAAAAACCCAUGAAAGAAAACCAGACAAACAACCAACCUGAAUCAUCAUUUUCCAAAAAAUAAAUAAAAAUAACCCGGAUUAUUGGUCGGUCCAAUGUACUAUUUCUCUCAAAACACAAAUGAAUAGUCAAAUAAUAAAAGAGAAAACUUGGGUGUAAAAAAAAAAUAGAUUUGGUAGAGAUUUGAAGGUCGCUUUCUGUUUUCUGACUCUCAUGAAAGACAAUGACCCUUCUAUUCAUAUUCAUUCAUUAAUUCUUCUUUCUCUCCUUCUUCACUCUUCUCCUUAAAAAUCUCACUGCCUCUUCUUUCUUUCUCUGAGCCUCUCUUACUUAAAUCUAGUACGGAGUACCUCAAAGAGACACUCUAUCUGCUGCUCGAUUAGCUUCCCUUCUCGAGUUUAUCUCGAGUUUUAUCUGCUGCUCGAUUAGCUUCUCUUCUCUGAGUUUUUUUAUAAACACUUAAAUUGUUAUUAUUGCUUGUUGUAGUAAGUAUAGUUAUUUUUUUUCCCUUUAUUUAAGGGUUUGUUUACUUAUUUGAUUUGAUGGGUUCCUAAAAUUUUGCUUUCUUGUCUAAAAUCCAAAAAAAAUAAAUAAACUUUUUUUUAUUUAAAUUUUUGAGGAAAAAUUGAGAGUGCACAUUUAGGUGGUGGGGUUGUUGUAAAUAUUUUCUCAGGUGGAGUGUGGAUUUAGUGAAUGAUUGUGUAGUCUUAUCAAUGUUGUCUCUGAACAAAAACAUUUUUUUAAAAAUUUAUUUUUCAAAAAAGAAUUAUUAAAAUUAAUUUGAGAAUAAAAUUAUAUUUAGAGUGUACUUUGAUGGUCAGGGUGAGAUCAUAUCAAUAGUCAGUAUUCUGCCUUAAAAUAGAUUUACAUGAUUCCCCAUUUUAGAUUCUUUUUUCAUCAAUCUAAGCUUUUUUGUCUUUCUCUCUCUAACAUUUUCUCUCUCUAAAUUCAGCCUGUUUUUUCAUAUCUACUCUUUAAUCUUAGAUUCACUAAUUGCAUGGUUGUGAAUGAUUUUUAAGAAAAUCAAAAUUAAAUUAGAGUAUUAGACUAAUUAUUUUUAUAGUUAUUAAUUUUUGUUAUAAAAAAUUCAGUUUUCUUUUGUGAUUUAUGCUCCCUAUGUUAAUUUUUAGUAACUUGAUCUGUCCCCUCUUUUUAUUGCUUGUUCUUCUCCCUAGCAUGAUGGGUUUAUGUUAUUUUAUUUUUAUGUGUUUUAAAUUUUUCAUAAUAAUUAACAAUAUCAAUUAAUUUUUUAUUACAUUUGUUAAAGCUUUGCAUUAGGGUUAGGGUUUGUUUAAGUAAUUGCUAUGUUCAGUAAGGAUGAACUUAGUGGUGGUUUUUUUUUUUUUUUUGUUUAUGAUUUGUAUUGUAUGAUAAUUAGCUUAAUUAUACUUAGUUUUUUUAGAAAAUUUCUCAUAUUUCUGUUUCUUACACUUAGAAAUUUGUUAAUGCAAUAUUAUCAUAUAUUAUUCUAAUUAAUUUUAUUUUUGACUAAUUAUAUUAUUUCUGCUAUUCAAUUUUUUUAGCUUCUUUUACCUUGAAUGAGUCUUUACUCUUUUGAAUUAAUUACUGUACACUUUAGAAGAACUUUUUUUUUUAAAUAAUAAUUUUUUAUUAGUCAUUUUAAGUUUAUUCAAAUGAACCAUUAGUUUACAAUAAUUUGAUUUGUUUAAAUGAAACCGAAUAUCUUUGUUAGUUCAAAUCACAUGAACUUCAUUGUUCUUUAUUGAUUAUAUACUACCUUCGUUACAGGUUAUGUGCAAUGAUUUGACAUAAAGCAUAUAUAUGCAUCUUUAAUUUCAAUCUUCCUUGUUAACCUCACAUAAAUUCCUAAGUUGUCAUCUCUUCAAUUGAAUCAAUAACCGAAGAAAGCCGAAAAUCAUGUGUUUAAUUUGUCUAAUACAAGUAGUAGUUAUGUUGUAAUUGCAUGUGUUAGAAUUUAUAUAUAUUUGGAUAUGUUAGGAAUGAAGAAGUAGUGUAAGAGAGCUUCCUUCAGCCCACUCAUGGAUGGAAAAAAGGGGUAUAGAAUUAUCUGCCGACUCAUUCAUUCAAACACUUAGUAGUACGAAAUAUUAUCGAAAUUUGUAAUGUACUACUGUGAUUGCAUGAAUGAUGCGGGAGAUAGUUUCCAUCCUUCUCUCUCUUUGCUUGGACUGAAGGGAGCUCCCUUUCUCUAUUCCCUUCUUUUUUUCGCAUUUUUCGAUUGCUUAUUUUCAUGAACAAGUUUUGAUUGUAUAAUUUGUUAUUGAUGAUAAUUCAAAUGUUGUUUCAUGGUUUAGUUGUGAUAUUCAAUUACUUAGAAUUGCCUUUUUUCUCUCCUAUAUUUCGUAUUGUAUUGAUCAUAUUACAUUUAUCUAAUCAUUUUGUCAUUUUAAUCCAUGGAAAUUUCGGCAUGGUGUAUGAAUUCUGUCACAUUCGUAGACCAGGUGGUGAUAUUGAUUGACAAUCUUGCUUCAGAGUAUACCAGUUUGAGGCUUCUUGCAAUUUCCCUGGUGAUUAAUGUUCGAUUGAUGUCUGCGAAAUCUUGAAAUAUCUUUCAUUGAUCCCACAACGAUGGUGAAUGGUCUUUCAAUGGAAGUUUUUAUGUAAAAAUGAUCAUGUCCCUCGUCUGGGUUACUAGAGUUAGGCAUUGGAUCCAAAGUCCUGAGUAAAUCGGUCCAGAUACCGGAAUGCAUCCAUGGUUGUGCCAGGAAUAUUGUGCCGAGGUAUUUUCUCUUCCUUCUACACCUCCUCCCACCUCUCCAGAAGAUGCAGUUAGAACAAAGCAGCUCAUUGGCCUAGUAAACCGACAUUCAACUUUGAUUCGGCGGUGGAACUACCUUUUUUAUGACGGAAUUGGAAAAGGGUAAAGGGAAGUAAGCAUGGUGCAGGCUACUCUUUUUAAAAGUACAAUCUUAAUUAAUAACUUAGUGUGAUAUUUGUUUAAAACUUUGCUUAAAAUGUGCUUAGUUUAAUGAUAACUUGCUCACAAGUACAGAUUCAGAGAUUCUCGUGGGUAUUUUAGCAUCAAAUGCUCAGUUAAUCGAGUUCUCCGAGGAUGCAAGUACAACCCUAACCUAAUAUUAUUUUCAUUUGAAAUCGCGCUCAUGUCUUUGUGCUUGCUUUAUUUCUAAUUCAAAUAAUGCGGCUGCUACUUUGUUUAAUUAAUUUUUCAAUAUUUUAGUGGGUUUACUUAUGUCAUAUAAUUGGAUUACAUUUUACAAAUUAUUAAAUGUCAAUUUAUUACCCUGGAAUCUCAGCACAUUAAUUAGAAUGAUCUAGCUACUAGCUUGGUUUUGGCACAUUGUUAAUACCUAAUUUCUCUUGGUAUUUUACCAAAUAAGGAUGACUUCUACUUCUUGGUACAUUGUCUCUUUUGGCAAUAAGGUUUAGUUUGAAAAUUAUUAACUAUUACUUCGUACUAUGUAUCAUUGUUUUAUUAAUAAUACUCCUUAUGUAUUUAAAAGUCGUUGAGAGGAAUGAGGAGAUGUAGGUAUGGUUAGUCCCCCCACCCCCCACCCCAAUUGGUUGGAGGUUCGAGUCCUCACCCAAUCCCUCCAUUCCUGUGAUAGUGUGAGGGCUCACCCCGUAUCUUACCAAUUUUAAAGUCAUUGUUCAAACAGGAAAAACACUCGGUUGUGGUGAGACGGUGAUAGUUUUUAUUAUUUAUUUAAACAGAAUGAUAGUAAUUUAUAGUACGUGACACUUUGAACCAGAGCACUAGUUUGUUUUACAGAUAUAUUUAUUUAUAAUAUUUAAUAUAACACAAUGAUUUUCCUUAUUUUUUUAAUAGAGCUUGGGUACAAAGGAGUUUUUUUUGGUCAAGAUGAAAUAUAGGAAUCAGUUAAAUGUGGUCCAAAAAAGAAUUAAAAAAAA